Molecule: unclassified non-coding RNA, 296 nt
Filed under: Pterulicium echo
Lineage: Eukaryota; Fungi; Basidiomycota; Agaricomycetes; Agaricales; Pterulaceae
Description: partial contains 5.8S ribosomal RNA, internal transcribed spacer 2, and large subunit ribosomal RNA
Source: RNAcentral
CGCACCUUGCGCUCUUUGGUAUUCCGAAGAGCAUGCCUGUUUGAGUGUCAUUAAAUUCUCAACUCCUCAGUGGUUGUCAUGACCGCUGUUGAGCUUGGAUGUGAGGGUUUUGCUGGCUUUCACAAGUCAGCUCCCUUUAAAAUCAUUAGCGCAGCUUCUGCAAGUCGCUUCAGGUGUGAUAAUUUGUUACGUCUGUCUAGCUCUUGCGUAAUUUGGAGAUUUGUGCUUCGAACCGUCUUCGGACAAUAUUUUUUGAACUUGACCUCAAAUCAGGUAGGACUACCCGCUGAACUUAA